CAUGGCCUUUUGAUUAUAAUUUAAGGUCUAAUCUGCCCCCUGAGUAUUUAAAUGGCCGCAGUAUUUUGACUGUGCUAAGGUAGCAUAAUCAAUAGUUUUUUAAUUGAAAGCUGGAAUGAAUGAUUGAAUGAGAUAAAAACUGUCUUAAUUUUAAAAAUUAGAACUUUAUUUUUAAGUUAAAAAGCUUAAAUAUUUUUAAAAGACGAGAAGACCCUAUAGAGUUUAAUAAUUUAAUUUUAUAUAUAAUUUUAUUAUAAAUUUAAUUUGAAUUUAAAUUAUUUUGUUGGGGUGAUAGAAAAAUUUAAUAAACUUUUUUUAUAUUUAAAUACUUAUAAGUAAAUUUUUGAUCCAUAUUUAAUGAUUAUAAGAUUAAAUUACCUUAGGGAUAACAGCGUAAUUUUUUUUUAGAGUUCAAAUCGAAAAAAAAGAUUGCGACCUCGAUGUUGGAUUAAAGUUAAAAUUUGGUGUAGAAGCUAAAUAUUUAAGUCUGUUCGACUUUUAAAACUUUACAUGAUCUGAGU
This 521-nucleotide ribosomal RNA is filed under the name Danacea nigritarsis ingauna. RNAcentral's name for it is "partial 16S ribosomal RNA". The stretch from base 385 to 521 matches the Rfam family "Bacterial large subunit ribosomal RNA", at positions 2473 to 2610 of the family's 2925-position model. Lineage: Eukaryota; Metazoa; Arthropoda; Insecta; Coleoptera; Melyridae. The record is from RNAcentral.